UAGGGAAUCUUCGGCAAUGGGGGGAACCCUGACCGAGCAACGCCGCGUGAGUGAAGAAGGUUUUCGGAUCGUAAAGCUCUGUUGUUAAGGAAGAACGAGUGUGAGAAUGGAAAGUUCAUACUGUGACGGUACUUAACCAGAAAGGGACGGCUAACUACGUGCCAGCAGCCGCGGUAAUACGUAGGUCCCGAGCGUUGUCCGGAUUUAUUGGGCGUAAAGCGAGCGCAGGCGGUUAGAUAAGUCUGAAGUUAAAGGCAGUGGCUCAACCAUUGUAGGCUUUGGAAACUGUUUAACUUUAGUGCAGAAGGGGAGAGUGGAAUUCCAUGUGUAGCGGUGAAAUGCGUAGAUAUAUGGAGGAACACCGGUGGCGAAAGCGGCUCUCUGGUCUGUAACUGACGCUGAGGCUCGAAAGCGUGGGGAGCGAACAGG
RNAcentral lists this ribosomal RNA (429 nucleotides) under Bacteroidota bacterium. RNAcentral's name for it is "Bacteroidetes bacterium partial 16S ribosomal RNA". It matches the Rfam family "Bacterial small subunit ribosomal RNA", at positions 355 to 776 of the family's 1533-position model. The record is from RNAcentral. Lineage: Bacteria; Pseudomonadati; Bacteroidota.